AUUGAACGCUGGCGGCAUGCUUUACACAUGCAAGUCGAACGGCAGCGCGGGCUUCGGCCUGGCGGCGAGUGGCGAACGGGUGAGUAAUGCAUCGGAACGUGCCCAGUAGUGGGGGAUAGCCCGGCGAAAGCCGGAUUAAUACCGCAUACGACCUGAGGGUGAAAGCGGGGGACCGAAAGGCCUCGCGCUAUUGGAGCGGCCGAUGUCGGAUUAGCUAGUUGGUUGGGUAAAGGCUUACCAAGGCGACGAUCCGUAGCUGGUCUGAGAGGACGACCAGCCACACUGGGACUGAGACACGGCCCAGACUCCUACGGGAGGCAGCAGUGGGGAAUUUUGGACAAUGGGGGCAACCCUGAUCCAGCCAUGCCGCGUGCGGGAAGAAGGCCUUCGGGUUGUAAACCGCUUUUGUUCGGGAAGAAAUCCUCUGGGCUAAUACCCCGGGGGGAUGACGGUACCGGAAGAAUAAGCACCGGCUAACUACGUG
Molecule: ribosomal RNA, 484 nt
Filed under: uncultured bacterium
Lineage: Bacteria
Description: partial 16S ribosomal RNA
Rfam family: Bacterial small subunit ribosomal RNA
Source: RNAcentral